This 215-nucleotide non-coding RNA is filed under the name Devosia sp. The record is from RNAcentral. Lineage: Bacteria; Pseudomonadati; Pseudomonadota; Alphaproteobacteria; Hyphomicrobiales; Devosiaceae.
UAAGGCUGGUGUCGUGACGGUUCCCUUCAGGCAGAGGCCUGGCGGGAUCAAAAGGGAACACGGUGCGGCGUACCCAUCAGGGACCAAAUCCGUGGCUGCCCCCGCAACUGUAAGCGGUGGGCGCUCUCGAUAAGCCACUGCGUCCUCGGGCGCGGGAAGGCGGGGGCGCUGCAUUCACCGCGAGCCAGGAGACCUGCCGGCACAUGAGGGCGCCC